CAGUCGCCGCGGUAAUACGUAGGGUGCAAGCGUUAAUCGGAAUUACUGGGCGUAAAGCGUGCGCAGGCGGUUAUAUAAGACAGAUGUGAAAUCCCCGGGCUCAACCUGGGAACUGAAUUUGUGACUGUAUAGCUAGAGUACGGCAGAGGGGGAUGGAAUUCCGCGUGUAGCAGUGAAAUGCGUAGAUAUGCGGAGGAACACCGAUGGCGAAGGCAAUCCCCUGGGCCUGUACUGACGCUCAUGCACGAAAGCGUGGGGAGCAAACAGGAUUAGAUACCCGAGUAGUCCCUGUCUCUUAUAC
RNAcentral lists this ribosomal RNA (301 nucleotides) under uncultured bacterium. RNAcentral's name for it is "partial 16S ribosomal RNA". It matches the Rfam family "Bacterial small subunit ribosomal RNA", at positions 509 to 807 of the family's 1533-position model. The record is from RNAcentral.